RNAcentral lists this ribosomal RNA (406 nucleotides) under uncultured bacterium. RNAcentral describes it as "bacterial SSU rRNA". It matches the Rfam family "Bacterial small subunit ribosomal RNA", at positions 350 to 751 of the family's 1533-position model. The record is from RNAcentral.
AGCAGUGGGGAAUUUUGGACAAUGGGCGCAAGCCUGAUCCAGCAAUGCCGCGUGAGUGAAGAAGGCCUUCGGGUUGUAAAGCUCUUUUGUCAGGGAAGAAACGGUGAGAGCUAAUAUCUCUUGCUAAUGACGGUACCUGAAGAAUAAGCACCGGCUAACUACGUGCCAGCAGCCGCGGUAAUACGUAGGGUGCAAGCGUUAAUCGGAAUUACUGGGCGUAAAGCGUGCGCAGGCGGUUUUGUAAGUUUGUCGUGAAAGCCCCGGGCUCAACCUGGGAAUUGCGAUGAAGACUGCAAGGCUUGAAUCUGGCAGAGGGGGGUAGAAUUCCACGUGUAGCAGUGAAAUGCGUAGAGAUGUGGAGGAACACCGAUGGCGAGCAGCCCCCUGGGUCAGAUUGACGCUCAUG